This 483-nucleotide ribosomal RNA is filed under the name Chromobacterium sp. AKB-2008-4336A. RNAcentral describes it as "bacterial SSU rRNA". It matches the Rfam family "Bacterial small subunit ribosomal RNA", at positions 8 to 486 of the family's 1533-position model. The record is from RNAcentral. Lineage: Bacteria; Pseudomonadati; Pseudomonadota; Betaproteobacteria; Neisseriales; Chromobacteriaceae.
AGAGUUUGAUCCUGGCUCAGAUUGAACGCUGGCGGCAUGCUUUACACAUGCAAGUCGAACGGUAACAGGGUGCUUGCACCGCUGACGAGUGGCGAACGGGUGAGUAAUGCAUCGGAAUGUACCGUGUAAUGGGGGAUAGCUCGGCGAAAGCCGGAUUAAUACCGCAUACGCCCUGAGGGGGAAAGUGGGGGACCGAAAGGCCUCACGUUAUACGAGCAGCCGAUGUCUGAUUAGCUAGUUGGUGAGGUAAGAGCUCACCAAGGCGUCGAUCAGUAGCGGGUCUGAGAGGAUGAUCCGCCACACUGGGACUGAGACACGGCCCAGACUCCUACGGGAGGCAGCAGUGGGGAAUUUUGGACAAUGGGCGCAAGCCUGAUCCAGCCAUGCCGCGUGUCUGAAGAAGGCCUUCGGGUUGUAAAGGACUUUUGUCCGGGAGCAAAUCCUAGUGGUUAAUAACCGCUGGGUCUGAGAGUACCGAAGAUA